Molecule: non-coding RNA, 73 nt
Organism: Ovis aries (sheep)
Lineage: Eukaryota; Metazoa; Chordata; Mammalia; Artiodactyla; Bovidae
Source: Rfam
UCCCGCAUAGCUGAGUCAGUAAAGAAUCUGCCUGCAAUGCAGGACACCCAGGUUUGAUUCCUGGGUUGGGGUG